This 77-nucleotide transfer RNA is filed under the name Potamarcha obscura. Its description in RNAcentral is "tRNA-Val". The stretch from base 14 to 77 matches the Rfam family "tRNA". From Rfam's summary of the family: Transfer RNA (tRNA) molecules are approximately 80 nucleotides in length. Their secondary structure includes four short double-helical elements and three loops (D, anti-codon, and T loops). Lineage: Eukaryota; Metazoa; Arthropoda; Insecta; Odonata; Libellulidae. The record is from RNAcentral.
CCUAGGAAGUAAUCAAAUUAGAACUUGAUAGAAAGUAUUUCAUUUACACUGAAAAGUUAACUGUGCAAUUCAGUUUA